CCUACGGGUGGCAGCAGUGAGGAAUAUUGGUCAAUGGGCGGGAGCCUGAACCAGCCAAGCCGCGUGCGGGAAGAAGGUACUACGUAUCGUAAACCUCUUUUGUCCGGGAACAAAGGCAGGGACUAGUCCCCGGAUGAAAGUACCUUAAGAAUAAGCAUCGGCUAACUCCGUGCCAGCAGCCGCGGUAAUACGGAGGAUUCGAGCGUUAUCCGGAUUUAUUGGGUUUAAAGGGUGCGCAGGCGGCCCGUUAAGUCAGGGGUGAAAGGCCGGGGCUCAACCCCGGCAGAGCCGUUGAAACUGGCGGGCUGGAGUGUGAGAGAAGUACGCGGAAUGCGAGGUGUAGCGGUGAAAUGCUUAGAUAUCACGAAGAACUCCGAUUGCGAAGGCAGUUUACUGGACUGCAACUGACGCUGAGGCUCGAAAGUGUGGGUAUCAAACAGGAUUAGAUACCCUUGUAGUC
RNAcentral lists this ribosomal RNA (460 nucleotides) under uncultured bacterium. RNAcentral describes it as "partial 16S ribosomal RNA". It matches the Rfam family "Bacterial small subunit ribosomal RNA", at positions 338 to 795 of the family's 1533-position model. The record is from RNAcentral.